GGGAANACCCGNGANNCCAACCCCGNGAGUGAUAAAGACCCUCGCGUCGUAAAAAUCUGUCAGGUGGGAAGAAAANCAGUAUGNNCGGUGGCUCUGACGGUACCCCAAAAGAGCACCGGCUAAAUNCNUGCCAGCAGCCGCGGUAAUACGGGGGGUGCAAGCGUUUUUUGGAAUUAUUGGGCGUAAAAAGCACGUAGGCGGCCUUUUAAAUCAGUUUUGAAAACCCACGGCUUAACCCCGGAAAUGCCCUUGAAACUGUCAGACUUGAGUAUCGGAGAGGGAAGCGGAAUUCUCGGUGUAGAGGUGAAAUUCGUAGAUAUCUGGAGGAACCCCCCUGGGGAAGGCGACUUUCUGGGCCAAUACUGACGCUGAGGCGCGAAAACGUGGGGAGCAAACCGGAUUUGAUAUCCCGGUAGUCCCCGCCCUAAACGAUGUACACUAGGUGUAUGUCGGUANUUCCCCUUCGGUGU
This 470-nucleotide ribosomal RNA is filed under the name uncultured bacterium. RNAcentral's name for it is "partial 16S ribosomal RNA". It matches the Rfam family "Bacterial small subunit ribosomal RNA", at positions 374 to 846 of the family's 1533-position model. The record is from RNAcentral.